RNAcentral lists this long non-coding RNA (723 nucleotides) under Bos taurus (domestic cattle). Its description in RNAcentral is "long non-coding RNA NONBTAT026718". The record is from RNAcentral. Lineage: Eukaryota; Metazoa; Chordata; Mammalia; Artiodactyla; Bovidae.
UCCUUACUAGCUGAUCAGUUAAAAUGAACCUGUGUACAUUUUUCUUGUAUACAUAUCCAGUUAAAUAUUUGCUUCCUAGUUCCAUAAUAUGGAAAAUGAGAUUUUGUGUACAGAGUUGACCUAAUACUUUGUAAAUUCAAUUUUUUAAUUAAUAGGUAUUUGAUAACCAGUUUUGCAAGUAGCUCAUGUUGGUAUAACUGUUUAAAGACUACUUUAAACAGUUGUGAGUAGUAUGCUUAUUUGAAUAUAUUCCACAUUGUUUAUUUUUUGAAUAAAACUGUUAAAUGACUCUUCUGCUUCCUGGUAGGAAAAGGUAUAUGGAAUAAUGAAACUAUAGAAGCCCAAUCACCAGCAGUUCACAAAGGUGAUUACCGUUUUAUCAACUCUUAUGAGCUAUUAGAAUUAAAACAAAACCUUGCAGCAUUUUUAGGUAAGAAUACUUAAGCAUCUUGAUGAGUUAUGCAGAUUGUUAAGAAGCUAGAUAAAUUCCUAUCAAUCAAUGUUCAAGUCUGGUAAAAAUUAUUUUGGUUGCUUUAAAGCAUUAUUUUCCAAAUCAACCUGAACGUAAUAAUUUACCAGGGGGCAGGAGGGAGCUACUUGUUUAAAAAUCCACAUUCUUGGACCAGUCCUUAGGUGCAUUGAUUCAGUGCCCAGGGAAAACUGAUUUAAGAGGGUUGUUGUAACAGAAAGUAAUCAGAAGAUUUUGAUAGGUUGAUCUUGUGA